CUUACUUUAUCUAAAUUCUCUUCCCGUCACUUGCAACUGAAAGAGCUCAACAGCAGAAAUUAUAGUGAGAACAAUUGUGGAGCCUCAGCCUGGUUUGGGAUUUCUCUUGAUUGUCUACAGGUUUUUUAAUUACAAGGGAACAAAAUCAAAAGAAAGAACACUAAUUAAUCACUAGGACGACUUAUUUAUUACUGAUGCAAUGUCUGGAAAAAUCAAUUUAUUGCAAAUGUUUCCCGCAGGUUUGCAGGUUUUAGGCAAUUAACAAAAGCUGCUGUAAUUCACACAAAGAGAAUAUUCACUGUGUUGCCAAUAACUCAUUUUGAUAAAUUCGGCCCUGAUUGUCUUGAAUUUUGUGAGAAGUGUGACUUUAAAACUGCCGAGUGGCACAGGCACUAUUUCCAGCAAUGAUCCAUUGAUCUAGAAGCUGAUCACAUAUAGCAUCUACAGGGUGUCAGGGCAACUUCAUGUGUAAGUGAUUCCUUUGGGAGUUGGGUUCUUGUUAAUUAAACAUGAUGAUAUGGAUAUUGGAAAACAGAAACAGCACAUCUUGCAGGAAAUAAAGUUUUUAAAAAAACUCACCACUCUUGAACCUGGUCCUGAACUGUAUAGGGACCAUGGCUGGGCCCUCUUUUUUUUUUUUUUUUCAAUCCUCCUCUUUUUGCUGAGGAAGACUGGCCCUGAGCUAACAUCCGUGCCCAUCUUCCUCUACUUUAUACGUGGGAUGCCUACCACAGCAUGGGUUGCCAAGCGGUGCCACGUCCGCACCCGGGAUCCGAACUGGCAAACCCCAGGCCACCGAAGCAGAAUGUGCGAACUUAACUGCUGUACCACCGGGCAGCCCCUGGGCCCUCUUAUACGUUGCACCAGAGACCUGCACUGGUCCUCAUGCGCAGCUACAUCUCCAGCACCAAGCCCCCUGCAGCCUUGGCUUCUCCAGCAAACAGAGCUCCCAGGUGUCUCUUCUUGGAGGAUGCCCCAGCCAGCCUGCUCCACCUGCCCUGGCCAGGUGGUACAAUAUCCCCCAGCUCUGCCUGCAAGCGGAAUAUGCCCAUUUGUGUAGUUUAGGGCUUGGAAUUAGGCAGAUAACCUUGCUCCCCAAAGAUCCUGCUCCUGUGACCCAGCCUCUCGCAACCCUUGUCCUGUUCCUGGUCCUUGGCUUCCCUGAACUGUAUUGUAGGUGCAUGCACAGUACACACCCCUACAGUAGGCUGCCUGCCCUCCAGGCCUGUGGACCAGGGUUACACUCAACCACCUGCACAGCCUUCAGGGUGGAGGGAGCCCACCCCUCGAAAAUCACUGUCAGGCAGCAGCGGCAAAUUACAGACUGACAGUUCCAUUUGGACUUGCUGCCUGGAUCCGGUCCUGGGCUUCUCUAGCAACCAGGGCUCCCAGGGUCUGUUAAACUGCAGGAGCCUUUUAUUGGGGGCUUCCUCAGGAGUGAGACUACCCCCUCCAGCUGUGCUGAUCCACCUCACCCUACACUGGCAUGCCAUUCCAUGAGGGCAAAUGGAACACCAGGUCCAUGCUUUCUCUGGGUUAACCUCUUGCUUAUGCCAUCACAGUAAGUGUUUAAAGGCUUGAUUGCU
Long non-coding RNA from Equus caballus (horse), 1586 nucleotides. The record is from Ensembl. Lineage: Eukaryota; Metazoa; Chordata; Mammalia; Perissodactyla; Equidae.